GAUGAACGCUGGCGGCGUGCCUAAUACAUGCAAGUCGAACGCGAGAGGAGGGAGCUUGCUCCCUCUGAUCGAGUGGCGGACGGGUGAGUAACACGUAGGCAACCUGCCCAUCAGCCGGGGAUAACUGCGGGAAACCGUGGCUAAUACCGGAUAAUCCUCUCCACCGCGGGGUGGGGAGUUGAAAGACGGUUUCGGCUGUCGCUGAUGGAUGGGCCUGCGGCGCAUUAGCUGGUUGGCGGGGUAACGGCCCACCAAGGCAACGAUGCGUAGCCGACCUGGGAGGGUGAGCGGCCACACUGGGACUGAGACACGGCCCAGACUCCUACGGGAGGCAGCAGUAGGGAAUCUUCCGCAAUGGACGCAAGUCUGACGGAGCAACGCCGCGUGAGUGAAGAAGGGUUUCGGCUCGUAAAACUCUGUUGUUAAGGAAGAACGCCAGGUAGAGUAACUGCUACCUGUGUGACGGUACUUAACCAGAAAGCCACGGCUAACUACGUGCCAGCCGCCGCGGUAA
Molecule: ribosomal RNA, 514 nt
Filed under: uncultured bacterium
Lineage: Bacteria
Description: partial 16S ribosomal RNA
Rfam family: Bacterial small subunit ribosomal RNA
Source: RNAcentral